AACGAACGCUGGCGGCAUGCCUAACACAUGCAAGUCGAACGAGACCUUCGGGUCUAGUGGCGCACGGGUGCGUAACGCGUGGGAACCUGCCCUUAGGUUCGGAAUAACUCCCCGAAAGGGGUGCUAAUACCGGAUAAUGUCUUCGGACCAAAGAUUUAUCGCCUUUGGAUGGGCCCGCGUUGGAUUAGCUAGUUGGUAGGGUAAAAGCCUACCAAGGCGACGAUCCAUAGCUGGUCUGAGAGGAUGAUCAGCCACACUGGGACUGAGACACGGCCCAGACUCCUACGGGAGGCAGCAGUGGGGAAUAUUGGACAAUGGGCGAAAGCCUGCUCCAGCAAUGCCGCGUGAGUGAUGAAGGCCUUAGAGUUGUAAAGCUCUUUUACCCGGGAUGAUAAUGACAGUACCGGGAGAAUAAGCUCCGGCUAACUCCGUG
RNAcentral lists this ribosomal RNA (433 nucleotides) under uncultured bacterium. RNAcentral's name for it is "partial 16S ribosomal RNA". It matches the Rfam family "Bacterial small subunit ribosomal RNA", at positions 29 to 507 of the family's 1533-position model. The record is from RNAcentral.